This 69-nucleotide transfer RNA is filed under the name Vespa orientalis (oriental hornet). RNAcentral describes it as "tRNA-Asp". Lineage: Eukaryota; Metazoa; Arthropoda; Insecta; Hymenoptera; Vespidae. The record is from RNAcentral.
UUUAAUUGGAAAUUAAUAAUUUCAUUUAAAUUAUUAACAAUAAUUUGCCUCUAUUUUGGCUUCAAUUAA